RNAcentral lists this ribosomal RNA (386 nucleotides) under Pinna nobilis. RNAcentral's name for it is "partial 16S ribosomal RNA". It matches the Rfam family "Bacterial large subunit ribosomal RNA", at positions 1966 to 2578 of the family's 2925-position model. Lineage: Eukaryota; Metazoa; Mollusca; Bivalvia; Pterioida; Pinnidae. The record is from RNAcentral.
UCCUAGCCUUUUAAUUGGAGGCCUGCAUGAAUGGCUUGACGAGCGCCCUGCUGUCUCUCUUCCCAUGAACUUUUAAAUUAACUUUCGCGUGCAAAGGCGCGAAUGGCUGAGUUAGACGAAAAGACCCUAUGCAUCUUUACUGAGAGAGAAGAAAGUUCUUUAGCUUGGUUUAGCUGGGGCAGCUGAGGAAAAGGCAAAAUUUCCUUAAUAUAAAUCAUACUGGUGGGUUUAGAUCCAGGCUCUUUAGCGGGCUUGACAAGUAGAAAAGUUACGCUAGGGAUAACAGCGUUAUCCUUCUGUGGAGGUCUUAUCUGCAGGAGGGAUUGCGACCUCGAUGUUGAAUUAGGGAUAUACCAGAAAGGCGCAGAAGCUUUUAUUGUGGGUCU